UACGUAGGGCGCAAGCGUUGUCCGGAAUUACUGGGCGUAAAGCGCGGGCAGGCGGCUGUUCAAGUCGGACGUGAAAGCUCCCGGCUCAACCGGGAGAGGCCGUUCGAAACUGGGCAGCUAGAGGGCAGCAGAGGGGCGUGGAAUUCCGGGUGGAGUGGUGAAAUGCGUAGAGAUCCGGAGGAACACCAGAGGCGAAGGCGGCGCCCUGGGCUGCACCUGACGCUGAGCCGCGAAAGCCAGGGUAGCGAACGGGAUUAGAUACCCCUGUAGUCCCU
This 275-nucleotide ribosomal RNA is filed under the name uncultured prokaryote. RNAcentral describes it as "partial 16S ribosomal RNA". It matches the Rfam family "Bacterial small subunit ribosomal RNA", at positions 524 to 798 of the family's 1533-position model. The record is from RNAcentral.